RNAcentral lists this ribosomal RNA (440 nucleotides) under uncultured bacterium. RNAcentral's name for it is "partial 16S ribosomal RNA". It matches the Rfam family "Bacterial small subunit ribosomal RNA", at positions 339 to 795 of the family's 1533-position model. The record is from RNAcentral.
CUACGGGAGGCACCAGUGAGGAAUAUUGCACAAUGGGGGGAACCCUGAUGCAGCAACGCCGCGUGGAGGAUGACGCAUUUCGGUGUGUAAACUCCUUUUAUAUGUCAAGAAAAUGACGGUAGCAUAUGAAUAAGCACCGGCUAACUCCGUGCCAGCAGCCGCGGUAAUACGGAGGGUGGCAAGCGUUACUCGGAAUCACUGGGCGUAAAGGACGCGUAGGCGGGUUGGAAAGUCAGGUGUGAAAUCCUACAGCUUAACUGUAGAACUGCACUUGAAACUUCUAAUCUAGAGUAUGGGAGGGGGAGAUGGAAUUAGUGGUGUAGGGGUAAAACCCGUAGAUAUCACUAGGAAUACCUAAAGCGAAGGCGAUCUCCUGGAACAUUACUGACGCUAAGGCGUGAAAGCGUGGGGAGCAAACAGGAUUAGAUACCCGGGUAGUC